AGUCGAGCGGUAACAUUUCUAGCUUGCUAGAAGAUGACGAGCGGCGGACGGGUGAGUAACGCGUAGGAAUCUGCCUAGUAGUGGGGGACAACAUGUGGAAACGCAUGCUAAUACCGCAUACGCCCUGAGGGGGAAAGGAGGGGAUCUUAGGACCUUUCGCUAUUAGAUGAGCCUGCGUGAGAUUAGCUAGUUGGUGAGGUAAAGGCUCACCAAGGCGACGAUCUCUAGCUGGUCUGAGAGGAUGAUCAGCCACACUGGGACUGAGACACGGCCCAGACUCCGACGGGAGGCAGCAGUGGGGAAUAUUGGACAAUGGGGGCAACCCUGAUCCAGCCAUGCCGCGUGUGUGAAGAAGGCCUUAGGGUUGUAAAGCACUUUCAGGAGUGAGGAAGGGUGUACGGUUAAUACCCGUAUAUUUUGACGUUAACUCCAGAAGAAGCACCGGCUAACUCUGUGCCAGCAGCCGCGGUAAUACAGAGGGUGCAAGCGUUAAUCGGAAUUACUGGGCGUAAAGC
Molecule: ribosomal RNA, 515 nt
Filed under: uncultured Marinomonas sp.
Lineage: Bacteria; Pseudomonadati; Pseudomonadota; Gammaproteobacteria; Oceanospirillales; Oceanospirillaceae
Description: bacterial SSU rRNA
Rfam family: Bacterial small subunit ribosomal RNA
Source: RNAcentral